GGGCCCGCACAAGCGGUGGAGCAUGUGGUUUAAUUCGACGCAACGCGAAGAACCUUACCAAGGCUUGACAUCCUACGGAUCAUGAGGAAACUCAGGAGUGCCCUUCGGGGAGCGUAGAGACAGGUGGUGCAUGGUUGUCGUCAGCUCGUGUCGUGAGAUGUUGGGUUAAGUCCCGCAACGAGCGCAACCCCUGUGUUUAGUUGCUAACGCGUAGAGGCGAGCACUCUAGACAGACUGCCGGUGAUAAACCGGAGGAAGGUGGGGAUGACGUCAAAUCAUCAUGCCCCUUAUGUCUUGGGCUACACACGUGCUACAAUGGCCAGUACAGACGGACGCGAAGCCGCGAGGUGAAGCAAAUCCGAGAAAGCUGGUCUCAGUUCGGAUUGCAGGCUGCAACUCGCCUGCAUGAAGUCGGAAUCGCUAGUAAUCGCAGGUCAGCAUACUGCGGUGAAUACGUUCCCGGGCCUU
RNAcentral lists this ribosomal RNA (468 nucleotides) under uncultured bacterium. Its description in RNAcentral is "bacterial SSU rRNA". It matches the Rfam family "Bacterial small subunit ribosomal RNA", at positions 917 to 1382 of the family's 1533-position model. The record is from RNAcentral.